RNAcentral lists this signal recognition particle RNA (297 nucleotides) under Aotus nancymaae (Ma's night monkey). RNAcentral describes it as "Metazoan signal recognition particle RNA (ENSANAG00000013861.1)". It matches the Rfam family "Metazoan signal recognition particle RNA". From Rfam's summary of the family: The signal recognition particle (SRP) is a universally conserved ribonucleoprotein. It is involved in the co-translational targeting of proteins to membranes. The record is from RNAcentral. Lineage: Eukaryota; Metazoa; Chordata; Mammalia; Primates; Aotidae.
GCUGGAUGCAGUAGCAUGUGCCUGCAGUCCCAGCUACUCGGGAGGCUGAGGCUGGAGGAUCACUUGAGUCCAGGAGUUCUGGGCUGCAGUGCACUAUGCCGAUCGGGUGUCCGCACUAAGUUCGGCAUCAAUAUUGAUGACCUCCCGGGAUGUGGGGACCAUCAGGUUGCCUAAGGAGGGCUGAACUGGCCCAGGUUGGAAACAGAGCAGGUCAAACUCCUGUGCUGAUUAGUAGCGGGAUCGCGCCUGUGAACAGCCACUGCACUCCAGCCUGCAACAUAGUGAGACUCUGUCUCU